UACGUAGGGUGCGAGCGUUAAUCGGAAUUACUGGGCGUAAAGAGCGCGCAGGCGGCUGGUCAAGUCCGAUGUGAAAUCUCCCGGCUCAACUGGGAAACUGCAUCGGAAACUGAUCGGCUUGAAGAUGGGAGAGGGUAGUGGAAUUCCCGGUGUAGUGGUGAAAUGCGUAGAUAUCGGGAGGAACACCAGUGGCGAAGGCGACUACCUGGCCCAUUCUUGACGCUGAGGCGCGAAAGCUAGGGGAGCGAACGGG
This 253-nucleotide ribosomal RNA is filed under the name uncultured bacterium. RNAcentral's name for it is "partial 16S ribosomal RNA". It matches the Rfam family "Bacterial small subunit ribosomal RNA", at positions 524 to 776 of the family's 1533-position model. The record is from RNAcentral.